CCAUUCCGAACCCGGCAGUUAAGCCCCCCAGCGCCGAUGAUACUGUGCCGGCAGCGGCACGGGAAAGUAGGUCGGUGCCGGGG
Molecule: ribosomal RNA, 83 nt
Filed under: Aquificota bacterium
Lineage: Bacteria; Pseudomonadati; Aquificota
Source: RNAcentral